Molecule: ribosomal RNA, 547 nt
Filed under: uncultured bacterium
Lineage: Bacteria
Description: bacterial SSU rRNA
Rfam family: Bacterial small subunit ribosomal RNA
Source: RNAcentral
UAGGGAAUCUUCCGCAAUGGGCGAAAGCCUGACGGAGCAACGCCGCGUGAGUGAAGAAGGAUUUCGGUUCGUAAAGCUCUGUUGUUAGGGAAGAAUGAUUGUGUAGUAACUAUACACAGUAGAGACGGUACCUAACCAGAAAGCCACGGCUAACUACGUGCCAGCAGCCGCGGUAAUACGUAGGUGGCAAGCGUUGUCCGGAAUUAUUGGGCGUAAAGCGCGCGCAGGUGGUUUAAUAAGUCUGGUGUGAAAGCCCACGGCUCAACCGUGGAGGGUCAUUGGAAACUGUUAAACUUGAGUGCAGGAGAGAAAAGUGGAAUUCCUAGUGUAGCGGUGAAAUGCGUAGAGAUUAGGAGGAACACCAGUGGCGAAGGCGGCUUUUUGGCCUGUAACUGACACUGAGGCGCGAAAGCGUGGGGAGCAAACAGGAUUAGAUACCCUGGUAGUCCACGCCGUAACGAUGAGUGCUAAGUGUUGGUCUCAUAAGAGAUCAGUGCUGCAGCUAACGCAUUAAGCACUCCGCCUGGGGAGUACGACCGCAAGGUUG